RNAcentral lists this small RNA (577 nucleotides) under Pan troglodytes (chimpanzee). RNAcentral's name for it is "retained intron". The record is from RNAcentral. Lineage: Eukaryota; Metazoa; Chordata; Mammalia; Primates; Hominidae.
AGUGCGGCUCCGGCAGUGGCAGCGGAGGCCUGUGUUUGCGGCCUUCGGCAAGCGACUGAGAUGGCGAGCGCAACUGCACCUGCAGCCGCAGUCCCCACCCUGGCUUCGCCUUUGGAGCAGCUCCGGUACUUGGCGGAGGAGCUGCGGUUGCUCCUGCCUCGAGUGCGGGUCGGCGAAGCCCAGGAGACCACCGAGGAGUUUAAUCGAGAGAUGUUCUGGAGAAGACUCAAUGAGGCAGCUGUGACUGUGUCAAGGGAAGCCACGACUCUGACCACAGUCUUCUCUCAGCUUCCACUGCCGUCUCCACAGGAAACCCAGAAGUUCUGUGAACAAGUCCAUGCUGCCAUCAAGACAUUUAUUGCAGUGUACUAUUUGCUUCCAAAGGAUCAGGGUAAGCCACAUAAGUGUUGCAUUUAUCGUGUAGAUCUUUGCUAAUAUUGUGGAUUAUGUCUUGUGACUUUUACCUUUACCCAACUUGAACAUGUAACUUUCUCCCAUAAAAUACAGUGAAGGAUAAUUUUGUAAUGUAAGUGACUUAUAUAAACAAGCCAUUAUUCUAAGAUACAGAUGCUUUGUU